Molecule: ribosomal RNA, 253 nt
Filed under: uncultured bacterium
Lineage: Bacteria
Description: partial 16S ribosomal RNA
Rfam family: Bacterial small subunit ribosomal RNA
Source: RNAcentral
UACGGGGGGGGUAAGCGUUGUUCGGAAUUACUGGGCGUAAAGGGCUCGUAGGCGGCCAACUAAGUCGGACGUGAAAUCCCUCAGCUUAACUGGGGAACUGCGUCCGAUACUGGGUGGCUUGGAUUUGGGAGAGGGAUGCGGAAUUCCAGGUGUAGCGGUGAAAUGCGUAGAUAUCUGGAGGAACACCGGUGGCGAAGGCGGCAUCCUGGACCAACAUUGACGCUGAGGAGCGAAAGCUAGGGGAGCAAACGGG